AUUCGCGGCCUAUCAGCUUGUUGGUGGGGUGAUGGCCUACCAAAGGCGACGACGGGUAGCCGGCCUGAGAGGGCGACCGGCCACACUGGGACUGAGACACGGCCCAGACUCCUACGGGAGGCAGCAGUGGGGAAUAUUGCACAAUGGGCGCAAGCCUGAUGCAGCGACGCCGCGUGAGGGAUGACGGCCUUCGGGUUGUAAACCUCUUUCAGCAGGGAAGAAGCGCAAGUGACGGUACCUGCAGAAGAAGCGCCGGCUAACUACGUGCCAGCAGCCGCGGUAAUACGUAGGGCGCAAGCGUUGUCCGGAAUUAUUGGGCGUAAAGAGCUCGUAGGCGGUCUGUCGCGUCUGCUGUGAAAACCUCAGGCUCAACCUCGGGCUUGCAGUGGGUACGGGCAUCCUAGAGUGCGGUAGGGGUGACCGGAAUUCCUGGUGUAGCGGUGGAAUGCGCAGAUAUCAGGAUGAACACCAUGGGGAAGGCAUGUCUCUGGUCCGCAACCCCUGCUGAACCCGUAAGCACGGGAUUCGAGGCCCAUCAGCUGUUGCGAUAUGGUCGCGGCCUAACAGCGUGUUGUGGUUGAACUGCCAGAACAAGAGGUUCACUCUCUCUACCCUUAG
This 618-nucleotide ribosomal RNA is filed under the name Cellulomonas massiliensis. RNAcentral describes it as "bacterial SSU rRNA". It matches the Rfam family "Bacterial small subunit ribosomal RNA", at positions 229 to 793 of the family's 1533-position model. The record is from RNAcentral. Lineage: Bacteria; Bacillati; Actinomycetota; Actinomycetes; Micrococcales; Cellulomonadaceae.